CUGCCAACAUCAGAGCACAUCGGUUAUGCAUCGCUAGGCAACCCAAACACACACACAGAAACCCACCCCACUGGAAGAAACCACGAGGGUGGGCCAAAGCUACAAGGCAUCUUUUUUUAUGACAAAACCUGCACAUCUCCAUAACUUCUCAGGUACUGAAAAGAUAUGCACACCACGCUGUACAAGACCCAUUGUGCAAGGGAGCCAAUGAAACACAUGACAGAUGGAAAAGGAAUCCUGAUGUCUCCGCAGCUUGUGCUGAACAGGACUGCAGAUUGUGAAGCAGGACUUAGAUAACAGAUACUGGAAAUCACUGUUGAUCUUCAAAAACAUCCUUCCUUGGCUGUGGUCAACCCUAUCUCAUCACGCCAGGCUAAGAGCAGCUGUUAUUGCCACGUCCGCUAGCAUACUGCUCAUUGUGACCUUUUGCAGAGAUGAAAUUGUUCACUGCAGUCCCAGGACUUUCUUCUGUCUUGGUUUGGCUUUAAAUGGUUGGCAAAUAAAAUCUUCCUCUUUCCCUGCCCAUGAAAAA
This is a non-coding RNA of Meleagris gallopavo (turkey), 532 nucleotides long. NCBI's taxonomy places the organism in Eukaryota, Metazoa, Chordata, Aves, Galliformes, Phasianidae. The record is from RefSeq and is a predicted model, not a curated record.